UACGUAGGGAGCAAGCGUUGUCCGGAAUCAUUGGGCGUAAAGCGCGCAUAGGCGGCCCCGUAAGUCCGCUGUGAAAGUCUAAGGCUCAACCUUUGAAAGCCGGUGGAUACUGUGGGGCUAGAGUCCGGAAGAGGCGAGUGGAAUUCCUGGUGUAGCGGUGGAAUGCGCAGAUAUCAGGAAGAACACCGAUGGCGAAGGCAGAUCUCUGGGCCGUAACUGACGCUGAGGAGCGAAAGCAUGGGGAGCGAACAGG
Molecule: ribosomal RNA, 253 nt
Filed under: uncultured bacterium
Lineage: Bacteria
Description: partial 16S ribosomal RNA
Rfam family: Bacterial small subunit ribosomal RNA
Source: RNAcentral